AGCAGCCGCGGUAAUUCCAGCUCCAAUAGCGUAUAUUAAAGUUGUUGCAGUUAAAAAGCUCGUAGUUGAAUUUCGGGGUUAGUAGGUUGGUCAUGCCUCAGGUAUGUACUGGUCUCACUGAUUCCUCCUUCCUGAUGAGCCGUAAUGCCAUUAAUUUGGUGUUGCGGGGAAUCUGGACUGUUACUUUGAAAAAAUUAGAGUGUUUAAAGCAGGCUAACGCUUGAAUACAUUAGCAUGGAAUAAUGGAAUAGGACGUUCGAUCCUAUUUUGUUGGUUUU
This 278-nucleotide ribosomal RNA is filed under the name Glomeromycota sp. RNAcentral's name for it is "partial small subunit ribosomal RNA". It matches the Rfam family "Eukaryotic small subunit ribosomal RNA", at positions 569 to 852 of the family's 1831-position model. Lineage: Eukaryota; Fungi; Glomeromycota. The record is from RNAcentral.